Amphiprion ocellaris (clown anemonefish) is the source of this 4017-nucleotide long non-coding RNA. The record is from Ensembl. NCBI's taxonomy places the organism in Eukaryota, Metazoa, Chordata, Actinopteri, Pomacentridae.
UGGAAACGCCCUCUCCACUACUUGACACACGCUUCGAAGCCUCGGCAUAUCUCCUGCUGUGAGGGAACCGACGACUGAACCGGGCCAAGGAGAGACCGAACCUGCAACAGCUUCAUGAAGUCUCCUGGAUGGUUUUCCAAUAGCCUUGAAGAACUUCCCAGAGGUGCUGAGCAGCUGAUGGAGUUUCUCCUCAGUGGAGACGUUGAGGUGGAUGGAGGCUAUGCUGGAGUACCGGCUCCGUGUAACAGGAGGAGAUGACUGGGCCAUGUGGACCCUCGGUGCAGCGCUAAAAACAGCCUGACAGCUGUGUGUGAAGAGUGAGUAAAUGAAACUGAAACAGCACCUGACCAUGAGGUAGGUGGAGAGCAUUUCUGAGUGACAUGAAUAUUGGACAAUAAACACAUUAAAUAUAUUUAACACACGUUAGUGUGAUAUUUACUACACUGUUUGUAUUAUUAGCUUUGAAGUAUGUUGUUUUUUGAAAAGUGUCAGUCAAUGCCAGAAGCUUAAUCAACUAAAAGACAUUUUUUACAGAAGAAUCCAACCUUUCUUAUUUGUCUGAUAUUUAUCAAUUUCAUCAGUGUCAUAGUAACAUGUAUGCAUUUAAACUUACAAGAAGUGCAAGAAAAUACAACUUGGAAUUCAUUAUAUAACAGUUAAUAAUAAAUUAUUUAUCUAGCACCAAGUCCAAUUUAAGUUACAAAGUGCUUCACAUGGCAGCAAAAUAGGCAGACAAAAAGUCAUAAAUAGAAAUAAAACACAACAUGGUGUAAAUAACAGCACUGUUAACAGUUAAAACAUUAGUGUAGGAAAUAUAAAACAGUUCAAAGGAAAUUAAAAUUCUAGUAAAAUCAGGAAACACUCUCAGACAAGAGUAUGUUUUAAGAAGAGACUUAAGAAGAGAUCACUGUCUCUGCCAACCUUAUUUCCUUGAUCAUUCCAGAGCCUUGGGGCCCCGACUGCAAAUACUCUGUCCCCUCUAGUUUUCAGUCAGGCCCAAAAGACCUCCACCCAAAAGAUCUCAAGGCCCCUUUUCGACCAAGCAGUGCUGGUUCGGAGCCAGUGCCUGACUUAGCACCAGUUCUUUGUGUUUCCACCAACUAAGCACCGGCUCCCGGCUUCAAAAACUCCUGCUUUUCAGGCACCAACUCUUUGCUGGACCAGAGUUAAGAACUGAGUACGUCAUGGGCUGGGAGGCGCAGGGUUACGGUGACCAAUGCUCAACAACACAGAACCGCCAUUUUUAAACAGCAAAGUGAGUAGUAGUAGUAGUACUAGUGUUUAGUGUUAAUGUUUUGAAAACCGGUUAAUAUGGACACCAAAUCCAAGCAGCAGUGGUCUGAGGAGGAGACCCAGUGCUUGCCGACACUGUGGUCUUCAUAUGAAAUUCAGUUGAAGUCAGAGGGAGCCUCUCAGAACGAUCCAGUGGGAGAUGGCUGCAGCUGGGUACGAGCAGACCCUCGACUGACUUCUCAGUAAACUUAAAAAGCUCAAAAAUGACAACACGGACCGGAAAAGGGAGCUGGAAUGGAGCAGUGGUCGGCCCAAAAAGAGUCCCCAAGGGGUAAAACUGCAAACUGGUGCAUAUAAUGCUAAAAGGUUGGAUAUAUAACUAGGAGAGAGACCAUGAAGUGACUUAAAAUUAAUUAGUAUAAGUUUAAAUUCUAUCUUAAAACAUACUGAAAGCCAUUGUAAAGAGGCUAAAACAGUAAUAAUAGAAAUAGAAGCGUGCAAAAUGAUCUAUGUGUCUUUAAAAGGCAAAAUAGUUUGUAUUUUGGAAAUAUUGAGUGCUGCUUAAAACUUAGAUUACUGUUGAAGCAGAUUCUGAGAUUCCUUACGACAGGCUUAUCGAGAUCUAAAGAGAACCAGCUGAUGUUAGAAUCUGUCUGGCUAUGUGCUGCAAUCCAAUAGUGAGAAUGUGUGUUUUGUUUGAAUUUAGCUGAAGGAACUUAUUUGACAUCCAUUAAGAGAACUCAGCAUACUGGGCUCUGAGGAUCUAACAGACAGACAGUUAAGAGGACCGGUUACUCUAUUAUUUAAGCACUUUUACUGCAUGUUUGCUGUUUUUCCAGGUGUUUGAUGGGAAGUUGAUCCGUUUCAUCUGUGUGUGUUCAGUGGACAAACAAGGCUAGAUUCUCCCAGUAAAGAAGAGCUACAUCUUCUGGGAAUUUCAGUGAGGUCUUAUUUUUCUACUCCACUGACCUGCUACUCAUCCUAUAAAGUCUGUAUUUUGGAUCCAUUGAGUCUUGUUCAGAGUUUGGAAGUCAUUUUGCGGUGAGGAAUAGCUCUGAUGCCUCUUGAAUUCACAAUUUCUGCUGUCAAAUUUGUUAUGGGAAGAAUGUUGCACAACUCGUCAGAUUGCAGGCAACCUUUUAGAGAAGCCUCUACCAGCACUGUUGUUUUCUCUGCAGUUGUCUUUCUGGAGACAUAUGGAUCCUGCAGCUGUUUGAUGCUGCAGGUAUUCGAUGAACUCAAAACAGCUGGAAGCAACAGUCUAAACGUAAGCACAUGUUAAUGUUUUGUCAAAAAAAAGUGAAUUAUUUCUAUUAUUGUUGAAAAAGAUGUCAUUAAUCUGAGCUGUUAGUUUUUCUUCAUCACAGUAAUGUUUCAUUGUUAUGGACAUCUUAUUUUUUAGGCUAAUAGAUGAAUAAUUCUGUAGUAAACAGUACUGAUGAUAAAAAGUGGGAAAAGCCUUCCCUAAAGCACACAACUGAAGUCCUAUUGCUGGUGCGUCCCUCUUCAUUACUGAGACUGCAUGCAGUUCAAAGUUGUUAUGUGUUGAAAGGGAUGCUGAAAUGUUACUAGGUCCAGCUUUAAAGAGGCUAAAAUAAUAGGCGAUCGGGCAGCAUGUGCAGAACAAAAAAAGCACCAUUUACUAUGACAAAAAUAAGGCAUUUCCUUAAAAACAUCUACAAGUUAACCCUUUAAAGGGUACUGAAAAUUUCAACCCUAGAGUGGUAUUGGAGGACGUAAUAUUUUUUUAUUUUUGUGACAUUUUCCAGAAUUUUUAAUUUUCAUGUUGAAAUUCAAGGUCAGUGAAGUUACCAUAUAUGGUUCCUUGCCCUUUAGUGGUUAAAAAAAAAAAACUGUCCAAGAAAUGUAAGUAUCAUCACUUAGUACAACUACUCAAUUGUAAAAUUUGUGAAUUUCGUCAACUAACCAUGGUUAGUUUUGACGUUUCGACCGCAAAUAUGGAAGAGGCACCUGGUGGCGCAGCUUGGUACUCUAGCUACUGUACAAUACAUGUUCCGACAUGCAUGUAGAGAAUCCAGGUUUUACAUCUUUUGGAGUUUAGGGGGAACAUGCAGAAAUCCUUUUCUUUUUUCUUCAUGCAUUGCAGAACUGUUCAGUUCUCAAGCAUGGACACUGGACUGAUUUUAAGAACUUGAAUAACUUGAAUUGCGUGUUAUCUUACUAAUUACAUGGAUUGCAUCAGGGUCAAAAAAUAAUUCAUUGUGACGUCCCUAGUGCCAAUACAUGGCUGUCAAAUGCCAAAUUUGGAACAUAGGGUUGGUCAUAUAUCCUCACACAAUGAGUAGCGGCACUGAGCACACUGCCAGUAAGCAGCAAUCCAGUCAGAACUAAGAAAGAAAUUUUGCUGAAUAUUUAGGCUGCUUUCCAAAUCGCAUACUUUUUCUUUAACCUUUAGGUACCUAGCACAGCUGCCCUCACAAAUUACAUACUGUUACAUGCAUAUGCAUACAGUUAUUACAUACUACUUUGCCAUAAUAUUGUGCCUUAAACUUUGACCAAAUCCUCUGUCUAUCUGCAACUUAAGUUUGUUUAUACUUGUGUGAGACACCAGGACAUAUGUGACGCAACUAUGCAGAGGAUUGUAGGUCAGAAUGGUCAAAAAGCAUGCUGGCUUGCACAGUGCAAAGUGCAUGUAGACGUAGCAGGACAUGCUGGUAUUUUUGGCGUAGUGCAUUUGACAUAUGUUUUGGAAUAUACACAAAAGUUCAUAUACACUUGUAAUCUUCUAUUAUAGAUUAACUGAAACAUAUUUAUCUUUGUCAC